UACUAUACAUUUUUUGUGUAGCUUGCUUGUAAGUCAAAUUAGCUCUACAGAAAGCUAAUAUCACCUUUCUUUUAAAAACUAUCUAAAAAAAAUGUCAAACGAAUGUUUUUUCCAUGUCAUUGUAACUUAUUUUAGAUUGAAAAUGGGAACUAUCAAAGCUUUCUGCAACAAAAACUUCAUCUUCGUGUGGGGUGAACGCCUCUGGACUUCUAGCUGCAUAUGUAGUGCUUCUUUGAUUUGCAUUCCACUGAAAAGAAA
Molecule: long non-coding RNA, 258 nt
Filed under: Capsicum annuum
Lineage: Eukaryota; Viridiplantae; Streptophyta; Magnoliopsida; Solanales; Solanaceae
Description: long non-coding RNA (CANN_LNC013708)
Source: RNAcentral